AACGUAUCACAUAUUUUGCAAAUUAUUUAUUGAAAAGUAAUUUGAGGUAUACAUAGCUUUGUUGCGAUUUGUUUAAAUAUACUGUAUUUAAUGCUUGUCAUUGUUUUGUGGCCAGUAUCAUCGAAUAUAAAAGCACAGAUGGGUCGAACAACUGUUUGUAUUUUAUUAAUAAAAAUUGGGAAGAGAUUAUUUAUUAAAUUAACGCGGUGCUCGAACUUCCAUGCUGAAACUGGGCACUGACAGCAACUUUCUCGCUUUGCUUUAGCGGAUGCGCAAACCGGACAUUUGCAGAGGCUGUCGCUAAACUCUAUUGAAGUUUGUCUAAAGGGAGUCGCCGGUUUAGUUUUUUUCUUUUUGAUGUCCGAAAUGGCGCCCAUCCGCCCAAUUGACGUAGCCAAUCGGGCCGCUCGCGGCGCAUGAUGUAAGACGCUUUAAUGUGUGCCGCGUCCUUUAAAAGCCGCAGGUGCCGGCAGUUACUCGUUAAUGGCGGCUCGACCUGGUCCGGUUAAAUGACGCAGCUAGAAAAAUGCGUUGGGAUUUCUGCACACGGAGACCAGGUUGGAGUUGUCAAGCAUCAGAGUUCACUCCUGAAACUGUAAGAUAAGAUUGGUCAUCCUGAAGAUCUUCAACACAGUAGGGAACAUCGUUUUUCUUUUAUUCCCCGUGGCCGCCGUGCCGCUGUUGCACCUUGCCUGGACGCUCCUUGCCUGGACGCGCCUUGCUAGGCUGCUGUUCAUAGCUGUAUGUGUGUGGUUGAGUGUGGGUUGUGUGUGUGUGUGUGUGUGGGAAACUUUAAUACAUACCAACAGAAAAUGGCCACAUGUCUUUUUGUCUUGUUUGUUUCCUUUCUGGUUUUCCUUUCUUGAGUUUCCAGGCUGUGGAAUCUGGGUUUUGGAGCAAGAGCCAUAAACUGGAGGAUGGUUAGCUAGUCAGUGUAGUCUUACAGGUGGACGGCUCUCUGCUCAGAGUUGUUGUAACUCUGGUCCCUUUUUUCUAAUGGUGUGGAUGUGGAACUGCUGAGCAAGUAGGUAAAUGUUGGCUCUGAUUUCUGACCGUGUUGGUUCAGUAUUUGUAGUUGAUGGAGUGUCUGCAGGGUGUCAUUUGGACUCGAAGUGUGUGACUGCAGUGGUUUUGAGCUCAGCAGUUUGGAGUGUGGGUGUGACGAUGUGCUGUUUCAAUAUGUGUACUAACAAUGAUUGCUUUGUAGGUGCUGUCGUCAAAGGGUGAGUCCAAAACUUUUAUUCCCCUUCUUCCGGAUGGCUAGCCUGUCAGCCUCCGCCUGUCCCUAUCCUUAGAUUUUUAGUCAGGAAUAGAGUUUAUUACUUAAACCAUAAGUGUUAUUUUGCUGUCAUUUAAUCUAAUUUAAUCACUGAGAUAUGGCUGAACAAUGUGGUGCAUAAUAUUUAUAACAAAAUACUAUAAGUGCAACAACUGAAUUUCCUCCAAGACUGCAGAUGAAGAGCGAUACCAGGUAUGUACCCUGUUGAUGGGUACACACCUGGAAGGUAGGUGCCUGGCUCCAUGCCAUAACCAUUUUUUCUUUUCAGAUUCUACUGAAGGAAGACAACCAGUCUUGUGGGAGGAAAUAAAGUAAAUAGCGAUUUAGUUGCGCGAUUAAAAUGUGACACCAUUUCUGUUCUUUCCCAGCCGCCGUGCUGAUCGUGCGCUCUAUCAUGGCCUCCUACCAUGACCUUUUUUCCAGCUGCCGUGCUGAUCUGUUACUGUAUUGUCUUUUCAUAAAAAUUUUGCGUAACAAUGGCUAGUUGUCGGUCAAUGUUAAGUAGACAUAAUUGCCACAGUUCAGUCUAAAAUAUGUACUAUGUGUGUCAAGUUCAGGAGUGUAGCAUAAAAUUCUCUUCUCUAUAUGCUGGGCUGUGGAUGUGUAUGUUUGUGUGGGACCAGAUGUUGAACCAGACUGACAUGUUUCUCACCUCUGAAACAAGAUUAGCUUAGUUUGAAUUGUAAGACUGCCUUGUUUUGGCCACUGUGUCAAAAGGCUGAUGUCCUGAAAGGGUUUUAUGCCAUUGUGGUGCUUCCUCUUCCUCCCAUGUCUACCUGUCUCCUGUCCUUUGUUUCCUAGUGUGGCCUGUGUAGUCCUACUGGCAGUUUAUAUUAUUUAGUAUUCCACGAAUUUACGUCCCGUUUGCGUGCAUUCUCCAUUUUGCGUUGCCGUCAUUUUCGACACUUUCGGAUGUCGUCCUUCCUUCUGACAACUUUGGAUGUCCUGGUUGCUGUCAAAUCCCGGCUGUCCAGUUGCUGUCAAAUCCCGGCUGUCCAGUUGCUGUCCAUGGUGACCCGAUGAAUUACUGCUGCAUCGAUCAACGUGGUGUUCCAGCACUCCGAUAUCAAGAAUUUACUUGCCUUUGUACUUUUUGGUAAUGUAUUAAUGUACCAUCUGUAAAUUUGUAUUCUUGUGCUUGCCUUUGUACCACUUGUAAAUGUGUAUUCAUGUGCUUGCCAUUGUACCACUUGUAAAUGUAUUCAUGUACUUUUUGUUAAUCUAUAUUUAUGUACUUUUUACCUCCUUGUAAAUGUAUACAUGUGUACAUCUGUUUGACUAUUAGUUAUCUAAGCAGCUAGCUCACAGGAGUCUAGCGUUUGCCUCUGAAACAGAACUGUUUAUUGUUGACUGUUAUUGGUUUAAUGACUGUUUAAACUGGGUUAAUUUUGCAAAGAUGUUCUACGAUCAGUGUAUAUGUGGGUGGUGGAGGCUUCACCAGUCAGUUAAACAGGUAGGAGUCCUUGGUUAAUUCCUGCCUCAGAUGGGCCGUUGGAAACGCUGGAAAUCUGCCAUUCUGGAAUGAAGGGUGAAAGUGGCCCAAGUGAACAAACUUGUGAGGUCUUCUCAGCCCCAAGAUGUCUUCAGACUUGAGACUACAGUCAAACCAAGAUAAUCCAGACCUUCCUACUCGGGUGUCUUGAGGGGCCCAGACUCAUCACAACUGAUCGGAAUUUCCAUUCUCAUCCCUGCUGGGUUGUAUAUGGAUUUAUUUUAUUUUCUAUGUAAUCAUCUUUAGCUCCAUGGUUCACUGGUGUAUAUUUUGUUGUGUAAGUUGAUCAGGGUCACUACUAGACCCUGUAGUUUCAGGGUUACUACUAGACCAAACUAGUUUGCAGCAGUAAGGCUAGUGUAUGAGUUGGAUGUUAGGGGUCAUUUAUCAGUUUACUGUUCAGUAAUUUAAAUUACCAUAGAUUGGUUUUAAAUUACCGUUCAGCCUUUAGAUGUUGUUUUUAAAUGUUAAACUUUCCAUGUCAAAUUUAAACUCACCAGUUCUGUCACGCAGGCUGUAUUUGGCCUUAAAUUGUCUUUAAUGGCAUUGAACAGUUUAGCCUGUUAGUUCUGUCUUGUUUCCCUUUGCCAAAUCAAUUUUCUACUAAAGAACUGUGUACCCUUCUGUGGUACUUAGAUGGCGUGUUGGGAGGCCUCCCAGCAGAGGAAUAUUGUCCUCUGCUAAAGUCGUUUUAGUGGCUAGACACAGGGCUUAGUUGACAAAUAUAUCUGGCUAGGCAUACAGGUUAGAUUGCGCGUUUAGGUUCCUUAUUAGGAAAUAUAUUUGGCAAAGGGGCAACCUAAGACUUGGUAAAAAUUAAGUUGAUAUUAACUAUAUAGACAAGAUCUGUGGGCUAAAUAGCAGAAGAUUAACGUAACCAUUUUGUUGAAGUAGGCAGUUAAAUUUAAGAGAUUUAGUGCAGUGUCCACAAUAUUCCAUGUUGAGGGGGGUGGCAAAGGAUAAUGUCACUCUUGUGUAGAAUGAGUUUAGGGUGGAAUGAUAGGUGGGGCACCUGCGAGAUGGUAUUCAAUUGUUAAUUUACUGGUGUUUAAUCUGGGUCAACUGUAAAUGGGCUAUGAUUAGUGAAGAUGGUGGAGGUUGAGGGACAGGUGUAGUCUUCACCUGAGCUCUUCUGAUUGACUGAACAGGUGACGCUUCUCAGUAUUUCCUGUCCCACAGGUGUUGGUGCUGGGUCCAAACAAUCUCUGGAAACCUGUACCGUAGGGUGAAGGUGGCCCAGGAGAACCAACUCCAUAGUAGAAAGAUCUUCUCAGCCACAGGAUAUCUUCAGGAUUCUAUGGACCAGUGUUUACCAAGUCUGGAGAAGAUGAAUCCUGGUUAAAGGGACCUGAGGAUGGUUAACCCAGUAUAGGAUUCCUCACUGUCAUUGGAGAAGAUUCAGGCAGCUCCUGCAGGGUCCACCUUAGAAGAUACGUACAUCUCAGGGCAGUGGUGUUUCUGCGUUCGGUUUAGCAGAAUUUUAAAAAUGACCUGGGAUGGAUCCCAGUAAGCUGAAGUUGGCUAAGUAUGUUGGACCUGGACUGUGUCAUCAAAACACAUGCACAGGAUGACUAAUGUGAAAAAACUCCUCACGAAGAGCUCCAUUUGAAAAGCCAGGAUGCCGUAGACCUCAGACUACAAGAUGUGGGUUUCUUGAGAUACAGCCCUCCCCCCCACCCAAGGACCCAGGCCCACCGCACCUGAGGAGGGGACAGCAGUCUGCUUGGCUGUUUUUUUUUUUUUUUUAAUUAUUUUAAUUUUAUGUAUAUUUGUAUUUCCAUACAGUUGCCCAUUUACGAUCAACAUGACUUCUUAUGGAUAUUCUUAGAUUUGGUCUUUGGUCACUGAUGACUAACUACACGCUUGAACCCAGUUUUAGUUUAGCUUUGCUUUAGUUUCCAGUCAGAGUUUAAUGAGCUGGAUUUCCUUCACAAUACUAACUUCUACUAACAACACUCCACACUACUGUUCUAAACGUUCAUCACCCUUCUUCUUCUUCUUCUGGGUACUUUUAAGGAAAUCUAGUCAUGAAUUCUUACUGUGAGUGCUGCACCAUGAAUGCAGUUCCCAAAAUCAGACUUGGAUCCAUCUGAUUUUGUGAUCUGGUCUGUCCAUGGUACAACAUAAUGAGGAUGUCAGAAUUAAUGUAGAUUUAGUUAAUGAUCAAGCGUUUGUGGUUAUUUCAUCAGUGGUCUUUUGUCCAAAUCAUGGACUAUACAUCAGAAGACAUGGUGGUUUAGUUUAUGGUUCUGUUUGUUGUUUUUAGUUUGGGGAGGAGGUCCACAGUACUCUUGUUUUUGUGUUUGUUUAAGUUUUACUUUGGUUUUGUAGGGUAGAAGGAUUCUACUGCUGGCUGGCCUGGCGGCUUCCUUUGAUUUUGUUUUGUUGGGCUGGGACCUCCACCCAUGGUUCUUAUUUCUACAUCUUGGUUUGAAGUUUCUUCACAUUUGCCAUAUGUUUGUAUGAAACAAACCCAAGUUUCCUCUUGUGUGCUUGUUUUAUUUGUGUUAAAAAAAAAACUCUUCCACUUCCAGAGGAGCAUUAACUAUCAACUUGUAAGAAAAAUGUAUAUAUUGUGUAUGUUUUCUUGUUUUUUUAUUUUCAGUUCUGUCAGUUCUUGUAUUAUUUUUUUUUUUGCAACCAUUUUGCACCAAACUAAAUGUUUUGCCAAAAUAUCUUUCUGUAUUGUAGAUAGUGUUUUGAACUAUCAUAGCAUAUUUUGUUAAAUUGAUAAAAAUUAAGUUAACGCCAAGCAUUAUUGUCUAACUUUUAGCUUUCCAUACUUUUAUCAUACAACAAUCACCAUUAUUUGACAUGUAAUCCAAAAAUGUAUUUUUAUAUAUAUAUAUAUAUGCAACGUAACGGUAGAUUUCAAGUUUGUCAACCAUUUGUCAAGCAGCCAACAGGAAUGCAUGCAGCAGAGGUUCGUGGGGGCCCUGAUGUGUCCCUACCUGCCUGUGGACAUCUGUCUACCCUCCAUCUUGCUCUCCAUGACACCCACAGUCUUAGAUCAUCUCCUCCGUCUCUACGCUCCACUUGCGUUUGGCUCGUGUGGAAACGGCGUAGAGCGUCACCAGCUUUUCUCCCGCCUGGCACUUUGAUGUCUCAAGUGUGAUUGCUCUUGGACUGUGUCUGCUUUCCCUUGAAGGUUUGACGGGUCGAGCAGACGGGCCUCUCAGGUUUGAGCCAGGGCCAGUGAUCCAGGACUAAAACAUCAGUUGGCUGACUGUGGGAUACUGUUUCAGGCUGAGUGCUGCACAAGCAUAGGGGUUCUUCUUUUGCAAACAACACACACUUUUGAUGUGCCUUGGUGCAGUCAGACACAUAGACCAUUGAUAGAUUAAUGAGUUUCACUGGGUAAUUUUGAACAUUCUCUACUGUACAAACAAGCAGUGGAGUAUGGUGUGUUUGAACACAAUGGAGGGUAGACACAUUUAAAAUCUGAAAGAUUUGACAUGGCAAAACAAAACAGACUAGAUUUAAGAG
Molecule: long non-coding RNA, 6257 nt
Organism: Cynoglossus semilaevis (tongue sole)
Lineage: Eukaryota; Metazoa; Chordata; Actinopteri; Pleuronectiformes; Cynoglossidae
Exons: 9
Source: RefSeq, a predicted model, not a curated record